AACCGUGGUAAUUCUAUGGCUAAUACAUGCGCAAAUACUAUAUCACUCGGGGGUAUAGUAGUGUUUAUUAGAUACAGAACCAAUACACCUUUUUUAAAGGGUGUAGAAAAAGGUGAUUCAUAGUAACCGAACGGAUCGCAUUAUAAUCAUUUCGAUGAUUGGCGAUAGAUCAUUCAAGUUUCUGACCUAUCAGCUUUCGACGGUAGUGUAUUGGACUACCGUGGCAGUGACGGGUAACGGGGAAUUAGGGUUCGAUUCCGGAGAGGGAGCCUGAGAAACGGCUACCACAUCUAAGGAAGGCAGCAGGCGCGCAAAUUACCCAAUCCUGACUCAGGGAGGUAGUGACAAGAAAUAACAACACUGGAAAUUCUAUUUCUAGUGAUUGGAAUGAUGGGAAUCCAAACCCCUUUCAGAGUAACAAUUGGAGGGCAAGUCUGGUGCCAGCAGCCGCGGUAAUUCCAGCUCCAAUAGCGUAUAUUAAAGUUGUUGCAGUUAAAAAGCUCGUAGUUGGAUAUAUGCUGGAAGCAAUCAGUCCGCCCUUUUAGUGAGGGUGUGUACUUGAUGAAUUCUGGCA
This 574-nucleotide ribosomal RNA is filed under the name Sarcocystis fusiformis. Its description in RNAcentral is "SSU rRNA". It matches the Rfam family "Eukaryotic small subunit ribosomal RNA", at positions 145 to 700 of the family's 1831-position model. Lineage: Eukaryota; Apicomplexa; Conoidasida; Eucoccidiorida; Sarcocystidae. The record is from RNAcentral.